This 957-nucleotide long non-coding RNA is filed under the name Homo sapiens (human). RNAcentral's name for it is "HSALNT0009921". The record is from RNAcentral. Lineage: Eukaryota; Metazoa; Chordata; Mammalia; Primates; Hominidae.
AUUAUUUCAACCACUUUGCAUUUAGAGAAAAAGAGUCAGAGAGUGAUUAAGAAAUCUGCCCAAUGCUAUACUGAUAGAAGCUGGGAGAACUGGGAUUUGAGCUUACAUAGGCUAGUUCUAGCAUUUGUGAAGUUCUCGCCUAAUAAAAAUUAUCUGUAAUCAUAACCAGAGCAAGUCAUUUCUAACCUCCUGUCUAUAGACACGCGGAUACAUUUGUAAUGUUUUUGUUUGUUUGUUUUUAGCACGACAGAUCAAUUCCUGCUGGCAUUAUAGUUCUUUAACUAUCAUAGCUUCUCUGAUUUUUCAACACAUCUGUCAUCCGUAUUCUGCAGGCAUAGCCAACUCUGUCAGUGUCUCCUCAGGCAAUCAGAAUCAACAGACAGAAUGUAGGACAGAAAACUGGCUGCAAACAUGUUGGAAGGGCUGGAGGAGCGAAAGAGGGAAGAUCUGUUACCUAGAGAUAGUAACUUCCAGAAGUUACCACUAUACUAGUGCAGGAGAAGCAGAAAGGAAGAUGCUGCUACCCAGAGCCCACAGUCAUUGUGCCCCUGAUGCCGCUGGAACCCCACUGCAGCUGCUUUACAGGAAGCAGGGAAUUAGCGCUCUUGCUGAUGCUACAGGUAUCCAGGAUCCAAAAGUCAUCAGCCGCUGUCCCUGUUGCAGCCUAGGGAAACUGUCCCACUGAGGUUGUUGGGGUACCUGCUACUGCAUCUACUGUCUGAACCAUGUUGCCUGAGCAGAUGUCCAGGGCUCAGGCUUGCCUGCUGCUGUUACUGCUGCCACCAUGUUUAUCAGAGCUACUUCAAGAAGAGAAGAAAUCCUCCUCAUUUCCAGUUUUUUCCAGUGCCUCCCAUUGCUUCCCAGAAUGCCAAAUUCUCUUUGAGAGACAGCUGAAAGGAAGGUUUGGAAAAGACUCUGGUGUAAAUAAUCAUGUUAUUCAAGGAUAAUGAAUGCAGC